RNAcentral lists this non-coding RNA (28 nucleotides) under Homo sapiens (human). The record is from RNAcentral. Lineage: Eukaryota; Metazoa; Chordata; Mammalia; Primates; Hominidae.
UGCAGGUCAAGCCAAGAGGAUGGGCUCU